AACGAACGCUGGCGGCAUGCCUAACACAUGCAAGUCGAACGAUUGCCUUCGGGUGAUAGUGGCGCACGGGUGCGUAACGCGUGGGAAUCUGCCCUUAGGUUCGGCAUAACAGCUGGAAACGGCUGCUAAUACCGGAUGAUAUCGCGAGAUCAAAGAUUUAUCGCCUGAGGAUGAGCCCGCGUUGGAUUUGGUAGUUGGUGGGGUAAAGGCCUACCAAGCCGACGAUCCAUAGCUGGUCUGAGAGGAUGAUCAGCCACACUGGGACUGAGACACGGCCCAGACUCCUACGGGAGGCAGCAGUGGGGAAUAUUGGACAAUGGGCGCAAGCCUGAUCCAGCAAUGCCGCGUGAGUGAUGAAGGCCCUAGGGUUGUAAAGCUCUUUUAGCCGGGAAGAUAAUGACUGUACCGGGAGAAUAAGCCCCGGCUAACUCCGUG
Molecule: ribosomal RNA, 435 nt
Filed under: uncultured bacterium
Lineage: Bacteria
Description: partial 16S ribosomal RNA
Rfam family: Bacterial small subunit ribosomal RNA
Source: RNAcentral